AUGUUUACAUGCCUUCAUGAAGCUGUACAGCAAGAUCAUAUGGAAUUCGUCGAAUUUAUCCUGGAAGCAGAGACAACACAACUCCGGAAAGUCGUCAACAUGCAAGACAUUGAUGGAAAAACCGCUCUACAUCACGCGGUCCAGAAGUGCAAUCCUAAGAUGGUUGCUGCUUUACUGUCCCGCAAGGAUAUAGACAAGACAGUGAUUGACAAAUUUUCUGGUUCAGCAGUCCGGGAACUGUCGAACAACAUGCAUCAUGUCAAGACUGUGAACUGGAACGAAGUAAUCAUGCGUAUGUCGGAAGCUGAUCCACAUGAUGCUACCGCUCUUCAUAACCUCUACGUGGAAGACAAGCAACUGGCAAUUUAUGAAUCAAGGAAGAAUGUGAAGUCACUAACUAAAACAUACACAACCAAUACCUCGUUAGUGGCGAUCCUCAUUACGACAAUCACCUUUGCCGCUGCUUUCACUCUGCCUGGAGGAUAUAGCAGUGCUCGUGAUAGCGAGGGGCUUCCUGUCAUGACUCGAAGGUUGCAUUUAUGGCAUUCUUGA
This 552-nucleotide ribosomal RNA is filed under the name Triticum aestivum (bread wheat). RNAcentral's name for it is "partial small subunit ribosomal RNA". Lineage: Eukaryota; Viridiplantae; Streptophyta; Magnoliopsida; Poales; Poaceae. The record is from RNAcentral.